UACGUAGGGGCCAAGCGUUGUCCGGAUUUAUUGGGCGUAAAGAGCUCGUAGGCGGUUGGGUAAGUCGGGUGUGAAAACUCCAGGCUCAACUUGGAGAUGCCACCCGAUACUGCUCUGACUUGAGUUCGGUAGGGGAGUGGGGAAUUCCUGGUGUAGCGGCGAAAUGCGCAGAUAUCAGGAGGAACACCGGUGGCGAAGGCGCCACUCUGGGCCGAAACUGACGCUGAGGAGCGAAAGCGUGGGUAGCAAACAGG
This 254-nucleotide ribosomal RNA is filed under the name uncultured bacterium. RNAcentral's name for it is "partial 16S ribosomal RNA". It matches the Rfam family "Bacterial small subunit ribosomal RNA", at positions 524 to 776 of the family's 1533-position model. The record is from RNAcentral.